RNAcentral lists this non-coding RNA (30 nucleotides) under Mus musculus (house mouse). The record is from RNAcentral. Lineage: Eukaryota; Metazoa; Chordata; Mammalia; Rodentia; Muridae.
UCCCAUGAUACCAGCAUCUCGUAAUAUGCU